Molecule: long non-coding RNA, 1685 nt
Filed under: Triticum aestivum (bread wheat)
Lineage: Eukaryota; Viridiplantae; Streptophyta; Magnoliopsida; Poales; Poaceae
Description: long non-coding RNA (TAES_LNC016768)
Source: RNAcentral
UACAUUUAGCAUCAAAUUCAGAAAUGCAGUAUGUUGUGGGAAUAGAUGUUAUAUUGCAAGACUGUGUUUCUGCUGUUUUACUCUAGAUUAUUUUAUCUUAUAAAAAAUGUUUGUAUGUAAAAUUGUCGUAUAAUCACACUAUGAGAUAGUUUCAAGUGUUCCAUUCUCUUGGUAUUGUCAGAAGGUUAUAGUGUUCAAGAAGAAUGGUGGAAUGCUGGCUCUAAUUCAAUGUUCAGGUAAGAGCCAACAAUUGUAAUCCUCACUGUAUUAUGAAUGAUCUGUAAGAUAUAUUAAUGAUACGUCCGUUAAUAGAUCGAUGUAACCUGAUAUGGAUGCACCCAGGCUAUAAUUUAUUCACUCAACACAGAGUUAAUUUCUGAUGAGCCAACUUUAUAGGUGAUACUGGUCCCUGUGAACAACUUAUUUUCUUCGAGUCAGCAAGUCAUGUGGGCCGCUGAACUACAUUCUGAUCAAGCACUAUGUAGUAUUCUAAUCAAGCAAUAUGUAGUAUUCUUGGGUAGAAUUGUUUCUAUAGUGAUUAGUGAACCUUAUCCUCACAACGUCAAAAAAAUGAUAGGGUGCACUAGCAUCUGUUCUUCUGAGGUUCUACUGGUUUUCAUGUCGUGUUGGUUCUGUUCCAUUUGAGUGGCAAGUAGUUACAUGGGAAGCACUGUAUUUCUCAUGGGGUAUUCAUCUAACGAAAGGUUGCUGCUCCAGUCAAGAUUUUUCGACUUCAUAUUUUGUUACCAAAAUUCCAUGAUUAUGCCUUACUAAAGUUUUAUUUUUGUUGUUUCUUCUUGCAACUUUGCAUUAUCAAAUAAAUUUUCUGAUAGUAUCUCCCUCCCAUUAUCUAUGCAGUAGUGACGAUCAUUUUGUUGAAUCCGCUGAACUUGAUGCCACUGAAAUGACAAGUCUCAGCACACUCUGGACCUGUUUAAUGAUAAUUGAUAAAAAAUACUCCCUCCGUUCCAUAUUAAGUGUCGCUGAUUUAGUACAACUUUGUAUGGAACGGCGAGAGUACUUCCUUAUUGGCUAAUUUCAUCCAUGCUUCAUGGCACUCUGUGCUUUACUUGCAGUGGUCACAAAGGCAUGAGAACAAGACAAGCAGCAUUAGUAAAUUGAUUCACUGCCAAGAAGUCUUAUUCACAGGAGCUAUUUGUUGUAAGUGGCGGGCGUAACACAACCCACCCUAAUCUCUUUCAGUGUCACGGUCUAUGAAUUGGUCCAUGAAUUAGAGUACGUAAAGCCAGCCCUCUAGUCUAUAGACACAAGCGUGUUAAGGUUGCUAAUACUGCAAACAUUCCACAUGGCAAUUGUUUCAAUAGGAGAAAAGGAGGUCCUCUUUGUUGUGUUAGAAGGCUCUUGCCUCAGAGGAAUGUUUGCAGGUCACCAUGUCUUGUUCAGUCGAGCAAUUGUGAUUGUUGAUGUUCAGUUCUUUUGGAUCCAAUCCAUGCUGAAUGUGCUGUCCCGCAGGUAUAUUUCUGUUAUAGUUGCCUGUUAACCGCAUUACGCUAGGCGAGCUCUUCACAAAUGAUGGUAUUAAGUAUGGAUUGUGGGUUAAGCUCGCUAGGAGUUCCUAUGAUUCUAAUUCUGUAAUUUCUUGGGAGGGUGAUCCUCCGCAGAUUAUCCUAGCUGAACUUGUUAGUGAUGUAACAGAUAUUUCAUUUGAUUGAAUAAAGUGUGCC